UCAUGCAUUCAUUUUACAUUUACCUCAUCUUCUUGUUGUUCUGUUCAUCACACUUCAGCCACAUGUUGAGUUCUGUUCUUGUUAAGUUUUGAUCCACUGUUUUUGUUUGUUUGAUGAUUGCUUUUGUCACUAGUUUGAUUUGUCAGCUUUACCACAUUAGUCUUCAGUUGUAUUAUUCAUGUCAGUUCUGUUGUAGUUUUGGGCCUUUGAAUUUCUGGAUGUCUGCUUUUCUUUUCAUGGUCAAGUAUUAAUCUUUUCUGAGUCCAUGUAUCCCGGUCUUGUUACAUCUGUAUUGUUAGUUUAUGGUUAUUAGUUAUGUCCAUAUUGUCGCUGCACUCCCUUGU
Molecule: long non-coding RNA, 344 nt
Organism: Thalassophryne amazonica
Lineage: Eukaryota; Metazoa; Chordata; Actinopteri; Batrachoidiformes; Batrachoididae
Exons: 4
Source: RefSeq, a predicted model, not a curated record